This 403-nucleotide ribosomal RNA is filed under the name uncultured bacterium. RNAcentral describes it as "partial 16S ribosomal RNA". It matches the Rfam family "Bacterial small subunit ribosomal RNA", at positions 28 to 526 of the family's 1533-position model. The record is from RNAcentral.
GACGAACGCUGGCGGCGUGCCUAAUACAUGCAAGUCGAACGCAGUGGGGACGGGUGAGUAACACGUGGGUAACCUCCCAUCAGAGGGGAUAACACUUGGAAACAGGUGCUAAACCGAUACUGAUGGAUGGACCCGCGGUGCAUUAGCUAGGUGGUGAGGUAACGGCUCACCAAGGCCACGAUGCAUAGCCAACCUGAGAGUGUGAACGGCCACACUGGGAAUGAAACACGGCCCAGACUCCUACGGGAGGCAGCAGUAGGGAAUCUUCGGCAAUGGACGAAAGUCUGACCAAGCAACGCCGCAUGAGUGAAGAAGGGUUUCGGAUCGUAAAGCUCUUUUGUUAGAGAAGCGGUAACUAACCAAAAAGCCACGGCUAACUACGUGCCAGCAGCCGCGGUAAUUC